RNAcentral lists this long non-coding RNA (511 nucleotides) under Elaeis guineensis (African oil palm). RNAcentral's name for it is "long non-coding RNA (EGUI_LNC020918)". The record is from RNAcentral. Lineage: Eukaryota; Viridiplantae; Streptophyta; Magnoliopsida; Arecales; Arecaceae.
GUGGUGGUACUCUGAAGAAAUAAUAAGUUCAAAACUUAUUUAUUUUUAGGAAAUGAAGCUUAUGGAGUUAUGUUUCCAAAUCACAGAGAAGCCUGCGAGAACAGUAUUGCUGCAAUAGCCUAGCAUAAUUGCUAAAGAGCACAAUGAUAAACACGACUGAGGACAUUAUACCGUAUUCUCUCCACAGAUGUAAAUAAGGAUCAUUUUUCUGAUAUAAUUACGUGUUCUUCUUUCUCAAUGUCUAUGUUCACUAAUUGUUCCUUUGAUAAUCCAUUUUCUUCUGCAUCUCUAGAUUAAAGUUUGUGCAACAAGAUAAGAAUGACGACAAUGAUGGCCAUCGAUUAUAAUGUCAAUGCCUUAACAUACAAGUAGUCAUUCGACAUGGAAGUGAAAAUACAUCACUCAAGCCUCUGUCCAACAAGAUUUGUACAUAAGAAGACAAAAAAUUGCAACUCACCUAGGAUACUUGAACAGCAUGAUGUGCAAAGCAUAGCCAGGAAAUCUCCUUNNN